Molecule: ribosomal RNA, 253 nt
Filed under: uncultured bacterium
Lineage: Bacteria
Description: partial 16S ribosomal RNA
Rfam family: Bacterial small subunit ribosomal RNA
Source: RNAcentral
UACAGAGGUCUCAAGCGUUGUUCGGAUUCAUUGGGCGUAAAGGGCGCGUAGGCGGCGGGUCAAGUCGAGUGUGAAAUCUCGGAGCUUAACUCCGAAACUGCAUUCGAUACUGCCGUGCUUGAGGACUGGAGAGGAGACUGGAAUUUACGGUGUAGCGGUGAAAUGCGUAGAUAUCGUAAGGAAGACCAGUGGCGAAGGCGGGUCUCUGGACAGUUCCUGACGCUGAGGCACGAAGGCCAGGGGAGCAAACGGG